Non-coding RNA from Gossypium hirsutum (cotton), 144 nucleotides. The record is from Rfam. NCBI's taxonomy places the organism in Eukaryota, Viridiplantae, Streptophyta, Magnoliopsida, Malvales, Malvaceae.
UGUUAAAAAUUUCAUCCAUUUAUAUUGUUAAAAACUAACGUGGUUGAUAAAAUAACUAGAAAGUGACAUGUGGAUGUCAUAUAUACCUCAUGCUUAUGUACAAAGGUCAAUUUUUAAUAGAAGAAAUAGAUGAAAUUUUUAACA